Molecule: ribosomal RNA, 631 nt
Filed under: uncultured bacterium
Lineage: Bacteria
Description: bacterial SSU rRNA
Rfam family: Bacterial small subunit ribosomal RNA
Source: RNAcentral
UGACUUGGUGUAAAAAACUCCGGUGGUACAGGAUGGACCCGCGUCUGAUUAGCUGGUUGGUGAGGUAACGGCCCACCAAGGCGACGAUCAGUAGCCGGCCUGAGAGGGUGAACGGCCACAUUGGGACUGAGACACGGCCCAAACUCCUACGGGAGGCAGCAGUGGGGAAUAUUGCACAAUGGGGGAAACCCUGAUGCAGCGACGCCGCGUGAGUGAAGAAGUAUUUCGGUAUGUAAAGCUCUAUCAGCAGGAAAGAAAAUGACGGUACCUGACUAAGAAGCCCCGGCUAACUACGUGCCAGCAGCCGCGGUAAUACGUAGGGGGCAAGCGUUAUCCGGAUUUACUGGGUGUAAAGGGAGCGUAGACGGUAUGGCAAGUCUGAAGUGAAAACCCGCAGCUUAACUGUGGGACUGCUUUGGAAACUGUUAAACUAGAGUGCAGGAGAGGUAAGUGGAAUUCCUAGUGUAGCGGUGAAAUGCGUAGAUAUUAGGAGGAACACCAGUGGCGAAGGCGGCUUACUGGACUGUAACUGACGUUGAGGCUCGAAAGCGUGGGGAGCAAACAGGAUUAGAUACCCUGGUAGUCCACGCGGUAAACGAUGAUUACUAGGUGUUGGGAGGCUAGAGCCUUU